This 819-nucleotide long non-coding RNA is filed under the name Ananas comosus (pineapple). Its description in RNAcentral is "long non-coding RNA (ACOM_LNC010224)". Lineage: Eukaryota; Viridiplantae; Streptophyta; Magnoliopsida; Poales; Bromeliaceae. The record is from RNAcentral.
AGGAAAAGAAGGAAGAAAAGGAAGGAGAAGAAAAAGGAGAUCAAGAAAAUGAAGCUUUUGGACUUCUCCCUCUUCUUCUCUUCUUCUCUUUUUUAAGCUAGAAUAGAGGUAAGCUUCAACACCCUCUCAUAGUAGAUGUGUUAGGGUUUGCUUUGAUCUCUUAGAACCUAGCUAGAUGGACUCUAGUGGAUCUCUAGAAGUAGAUGAACUCAUUAAUUGCAUGAUUAAUUGCUAGUAGAUGGCAUUUUGCAAUAUUGGGCUUCUAGGGCAUCCAAAAGAGGGUUUUUGGAAAAGUAGAGGAUUGAUCUCAUUUGACCCUCCUCUAACCUAAUUGGUACGUAUUCUGACGCAACGGUGCACUCGGUUCGACAAUCCGACGAGUGUACGCGGAGAUAUCAAAGAUCUAAGCCGCUAGGGUACAGAUUGCCACAGCACGUAGCGAAAGCUUCCAAAAAUCUUGGAAACGGAAUCGUAGCUUCAAGACAUUACCAAGAGGUGGGGGGUGUCAUCCCGAAGCAUCCGGAUUUCUUUUUAUGUCUAAGUUAAUUAUGUUGAUCAUAUUGCGCUAUAGGAAUAGUAGUUGUACAUUUCCAUUUCCUUGCAUGCUUUCUUGGUAGUGUAGCGGGGUGAGCUUGACACGUGGACUAGGAUAGCAUGAGGAUUGGGUCUUGUGACAUAGAAUCCUAUAGCGGCAUAAAGAGCCGAACUUGGACAUAGCCUAGUAGAGUGGCAAUGAACUAGUAUGGUAGAAGCACUACGACAUGAACGAGUGACAUGUAGAAUUAUUAAGACAUUUACUACAGCGACUGAACGAGCGGC